UAAGGGGAACUCACUGGCUUUGC
RNAcentral lists this non-coding RNA (23 nucleotides) under Cricetulus griseus (Chinese hamster). The record is from RNAcentral. Lineage: Eukaryota; Metazoa; Chordata; Mammalia; Rodentia; Cricetidae.